UGCUCGGUCCAUGGCCCAAGUUGGAUGACUGUUUAUACUACUUCCUGGCAAAGUUAAAGUAAUGGUACAUUCAAUUAGAAGGAUUUUCUCUUAAAAGUAGCAAAUGGAUCUUGGUGUCCAGAAUGGGUGUUAAUGACUGACUGAUACAAUGGAAUCCUGGAAAGAACUCUCCCAGUGCUGUCUCAUUAACCAGAUGACCUCCAGACAUUGUCAGUGCAACCCGGCCGAGGUGAUUGAUCACCAGAGAACAGAGCUGCCAGCCCUCUCAUGAAUGCUUGGCCAUGUCCACAAGAGUGAAUAUGUGAGAGAUUUGAGAACAAAUGAAAGAAAUUUCAACAAUCACAGAUACUGGAAAUGCCUAAAUGUGAGUCAUUGGGGUCCAGUUAUCAAGGAUCAAGAGUGGAAACGGGACAAUGAGGUACAAUGGAAAGAACCUGAAGAGAAGUCUGAGAAAUUGGAAUUUUUCCUGUUUAACUACUUUCUAAUUGUGGCAA
This is a long non-coding RNA of Balaenoptera ricei (Rice's whale), 494 nucleotides long. RefSeq lists it as uncharacterized. The record is from RefSeq and is a predicted model, not a curated record. NCBI's taxonomy places the organism in Eukaryota, Metazoa, Chordata, Mammalia, Artiodactyla, Balaenopteridae. The transcript is spliced from 4 exons.